Molecule: ribosomal RNA, 119 nt
Organism: Lepisosteus oculatus (spotted gar)
Lineage: Eukaryota; Metazoa; Chordata; Actinopteri; Semionotiformes; Lepisosteidae
Source: Ensembl
UUUAGCAGCCAUAUCACCCUGCAACUCACAACUGGCAGCCCACUGAAGCUAAGCAGGUGUGAGCCUGGUCAGUACCUGGAUAAGAGACCUCCUGGGAAAAUCUAAGGUUGCUGCUGGAA